This 199-nucleotide unclassified non-coding RNA is filed under the name uncultured Sebacina. RNAcentral's name for it is "sequence contains ITS2". Lineage: Eukaryota; Fungi; Basidiomycota; Agaricomycetes; Sebacinales; Sebacinaceae. The record is from RNAcentral.
UACUCUCACACUCCCAAUGCUUUUGGAUUGGGAGCGGUGGACUUGGGUGUUGCUGCUUUACUGUGGCUCGCCUCAAAUGAAGUAGUGCAACUUGCGGUUGGACAUAGUACGGCGUGAUAAGUAUCUUCGCCGGCGCCUCACUAGAGGGUGGCCGAUCGGGAGCUCUGUGCUUCCAACCGUCUUCGGACAAUCUCUGACA